GCGAAAGUGGCGGAACUGGUAGACGCGCUGGAUUUAGGUUCCAGUGGGGAACCCCGUGAGAGUUCGAGUCUCUCCUUUCGCACCA
RNAcentral lists this transfer RNA (85 nucleotides) under Aquimonas voraii. Its description in RNAcentral is "tRNA_Leu_TAG". It matches the Rfam family "tRNA". Rfam says of the family: Transfer RNA (tRNA) molecules are approximately 80 nucleotides in length. Their secondary structure includes four short double-helical elements and three loops (D, anti-codon, and T loops). The record is from RNAcentral. Lineage: Bacteria; Pseudomonadati; Pseudomonadota; Gammaproteobacteria; Lysobacterales; Lysobacteraceae.